UCAAUGUGGAGACCAGAAACCACUUAUAAAAACGGGGCAAAUUCCGAAAAGCCAAAUAAUUUGGAAAAAA
Chryseobacterium koreense is the source of this 70-nucleotide regulatory RNA element. It matches the Rfam family "DUF805 RNA". The record is from Rfam. NCBI's taxonomy places the organism in Bacteria, Pseudomonadati, Bacteroidota, Flavobacteriia, Flavobacteriales, Weeksellaceae.